CGGGGUGCUUGGGACAUUCACUUUGCACGUGCAAUGAAUUCAUAUCCUAUACUGUAGGUAGAUUUCCAUAUCAAUUUCACGUGCUUUCAAUAAUUCUUUAGACGUUUCAGUUCGUUACAGUCUCAAAAGGUCUCGGUUAUCUUUCAGUCUACCCCCAAGACCUAACUUAUUGUUUUUUCCCUGGCCCGGCAUGCUCUCGGCACCAUCCCUCCAAUUCUGGCCCAAGGCAACGCACGAGCGCUGCCUGCAUCUAGUAUUGAAAAGACUUCGCUUCGCUUGCUCGCUCGUAACAACCUAUGUAGGCUGUCGCCAUUUAUUGUGGCACAAAUGUAAAUGCACAGAGAAACCACCUGCUUUAUUACAAAGAAUUUGAGAAAUCAAGCGAUUACACCCCAAAUCGCUUCCUCCAGCCGGAGGCUGUACCCUCGAAGAACCUUGGUACGUCACCUGCGACGGCGACGUCACCUGCGAGUUCCGCGGAACCCCUGACGCCGUCACCAGCUGGACCAUCCGCGGCACUGGACCAUCCAGCGACGGCCGUGACGCCGUCACCAGCUGGACCAUCCGCGGCACUGGACCAUCCAGCGACGGCCGUGACGCCGUCACCAGCUGAACCAUCCGCGGCCCUGGACCAUCCAGCGACGGCCGUGACGCCGUCACCAGCUGGACCAUCCGCGGCACUGGACCAUCCAGCGACGGCCGUGGCGUCGACUCUGCCGGUGCCGGAGAGGUCGGCGACGUCACCUGCGCCGCUGGUGUCAACACCGCAUGGACAUCAGCUGCGAGCUGGUAAACGGCGGUGGAGUGGAAGCAGAGCGCGCAAGCCACCAGCCAGCUGACUCAGAGCCCAGGGGGCGUUCGCCACCAACAUCCGCACGGCGCAGCUGCAGAGGUGAUUUCUGCCAUGGAGCAGCAUCCGCGGCUCCAUGACAUCAUCCUUCCAUCAUUCUCCAUCAUCAUUUCCGGAGCUCACCCGACGGCGGAGCUGGCUUAGGUCGGCGUUUGAGGCGCGGCGGGGGGCAACGUCUCUGUGCCCUGCUCCGGGUCCCCGCCGCCUGCGGUCUCUUCUGCUGCCGCCACUGAGGGGAACGGCUCUUCUUUGAAGACAUCAUCGGUCGACGGUGAUGCUGGCGGGCCGGUGGCGGCGUGCCCCGUCGGCAGCGCGCCUGGGGAGGACGCUGGUGACGACGAAUCUUCAUCGCCGUCGGCACCGGUCGCGAGCGAGUCGCUGUUUAGUUGGCCUGCUACUGUGCCAAAAAGUGCGACUGUGGCCAGACUGGUAUACGAUUUGUCAGUGCUUACGCCCCUCUUGCCGUGCCGGCCGUGCUCUUUGCCGUCUAUUGGGGAUGCGUUAGAGUUAUCGUUUUGGGGUUUAUACCGGUAUCAAGAUUGAUUUAAAAGAUGGAUUUCAUCACAUUUCUCGCGCACGUUCCACACGUCCUUUUGGUGUUUUGUAUGAUGGUAAAACGUGCUUAUACCUUUUCUCUGUUACCAAUGGGCCCUAUUAGGUACUGCAUCUCCUGCAUUAUUAGGUAGAGAUGCAGUACCAUUAUUAGGUACUGCAUUAUUAGGUACUGAAGGAGAUGCAGUUAGGUACUGCAUCUCCUUCGGAGAUGCAGUACCUAACAGAUGCUUUCAGUGAACUUGUAGAGUCGAGAUUUAACGUCAGGUGUUUGGCGUAUUUAGAUGAUUUUCUUUUCAUGUCCAAGGACGCUGAAUGGUAUCGCUGCGUUUCUGACUAGUGUUGGGUUGUGUAUUAAUUUCAAUAAAUUAGUUCUCGUUCCGUU
RNAcentral lists this unclassified non-coding RNA (1787 nucleotides) under Amphibalanus amphitrite. RNAcentral's name for it is "vegetative cell wall protein gp1-like, transcript variant X2". The record is from RNAcentral. Lineage: Eukaryota; Metazoa; Arthropoda; Thecostraca; Balanomorpha; Balanidae.